This is a long non-coding RNA of Ictalurus punctatus (channel catfish), 1412 nucleotides long. NCBI's taxonomy places the organism in Eukaryota, Metazoa, Chordata, Actinopteri, Siluriformes, Ictaluridae. The record is from Ensembl.
UGUUGUGUUUUAUAGCUCUCCAGUGGCAAGUCACUCUGGAUAAAAGUCCCUGUCAACGACUGUAAAAGUGAAUAUAAAUAUAAGUUAGGUAUAAGGGAUUGAAUGUCUCUUAACAGAAGCCUUUAAGCUCUAAACUCUUUUCCCCUUAAAAAUGACAUCAUGGAAAAUUUAAGACAUGUUUAUCACAGCAGCUGUGCCCUUGAUUUAAACUGUGCACUUGGAGCAGUGAUCAACUCAGUACACACAACAACUAUACAAACUAUACAAUACAAUAUUAUUCUAUAUUUUAACCCUUGUCUUCUUGUUCUUGUAUACAUUAAUGUGAUGCUACCCGGGUUACUAGCAAACAUUUGUUCAACUUAAGAAAUGACGUGAUGAAAUUCAUGUUAGAUCCGAUAUUAAACCACACCAAACCACACUAAUCAUGGCGUUAUUAUUAUUAUUAUUAUUAUUAUUAUUAUUAUUAUUAUUGUGUGUGUGUGUGUGUGUGUGUGUGUGUGUGUGUGUGUGUCAUUCACCAAACCUGUCAUUUAUUAAUAUUACGGAACACAUGACAGAGAAUAUCAUUUAUAUCCUAUAACUAUAUCCUAUAAUCAUAUCUGCAUAUGUUACAGCUGCAAGAUGAAAUAAUAAUCAUUAUUUGUGAGUGGUUGAUUAUUAAGAGAUGAAUGCUUAUAUAUUGUACAGUUUGUCGUAUUUAACACCGUGCUACAUUUAUCACAGGUCUAUCAUAAUUAAUAAGGAAAAUAGAUUGACAAACCUCGCAGCAUCUUGGAGUCAGACACAACGGUGUUCAGAUCUGCAGCGUUUGUGCUCGUGAAUCCGUUUCACUUUCGAUUUUACACAUGAAUCGACUCACAAGACUCAGUAGGACCACCUUUAUAUCUCUUCCAUUGUUUUUUUUUAUUCGGCUGAAUUUCUCCUCACGUCUUACUUACUGAAAUAUUAACAUAAGCCCUUCAAGACUUUAUUCUCAAUAUUAAACACUCGAAUGCCUUUCCACUGUUAUUUCUCAGCUACUGAAUCAUCUAAACGGCUCUUCAGACCUAGGAGUCGGUUCCCAGCGUUCAUCUAAAACGCCCACUCAUUCGUAAACGACACAUCAACUCACCACUAUUCCCAGUGUCUAUUAGGGAAUCGACUCUUUUCGGAUAGAUCCUUUCACAACUAUAUCGGCAGAAAAGAAAAACAGAUGUCUGUGGUAAUAAAGUAAAAGUGUUACAUGAAUUUUAUGACUAGAUGAGUAAACUAUUUGCCUGUCUGUCCUUAAUACUACUAAUUGCUUUAUUGUUUUGUGAGCCAAGGAAUUCUCAUAUAAUGAGCAUAUAGAUAACGUUGUAAAAUAAUGUUGUGGAUAUAUUUAAUUGAAUAUUUCACAGAAAAAUCUGUAAUAUAUUCUCAGUCAUAUUUUG